GAUGAACGCUGGCGGCAGGCUUAACACAUGCAAGUCGAGCGCCCCGCAAGGGGAGCGGCAGACGGGUGAGUAACGCGUGGGAAUGUACCCUUUGCUACGGAACAGCUCCGGGAAACUGGAAUUAAUACCGUAUGUGCCCUUCGGGGGGAAAAGAUUUAUCGGCAAAGGAUCAGCCCGCGUUGGAUUAGCUAGUUGGUGGG
RNAcentral lists this ribosomal RNA (200 nucleotides) under uncultured bacterium. RNAcentral's name for it is "partial 16S ribosomal RNA". It matches the Rfam family "Bacterial small subunit ribosomal RNA", at positions 28 to 256 of the family's 1533-position model. The record is from RNAcentral.